RNAcentral lists this small RNA (119 nucleotides) under Pantoea ananatis. RNAcentral's name for it is "yybP-ykoY leader". The record is from RNAcentral. Lineage: Bacteria; Pseudomonadati; Pseudomonadota; Gammaproteobacteria; Enterobacterales; Erwiniaceae.
CCCGCUUGCAAAGGGGAGUAACUUGUAAGCUGAUUGAUCGUCACUACGUUGCGCACGCAUCCGGUCAUCAGGCAACCCAGAAUCAAUUCCUGAGUUGUAAGUGAGACCUUGCCGGAAGG